This 467-nucleotide ribosomal RNA is filed under the name uncultured bacterium. RNAcentral's name for it is "partial 16S ribosomal RNA". It matches the Rfam family "Bacterial small subunit ribosomal RNA", at positions 28 to 506 of the family's 1533-position model. The record is from RNAcentral.
GACGAACGCUGGCGGCGUGCUUAACACAUGCAAGUCGAACGGAAAGGCCCUGCUUUUGUGGGGUGCUCGAGUGGCGAACGGGUGAGUAACACGUGAGUAACCUGCCCUUGACUUUGGAAUAACUUCAGGAAACUGGGGCUAAUACCGGAUAGGAGCUCCUGCUGCAUGGUGGGGGUUGGAAAGUUUCGGCGGUUGGGGAUGGACUCGCGGCUUAUCAGCUUGUUGGUGGGGUAGUGGCUUACCAAGGCUUUGACGGGUAGCCGGCCUGAGAGGGUGACCGGCCACAUGGGGACUGAGAUACGGCCCAGACUCCAACGGGAGGCAGCAGUGGGGAAUAUUGCGCAAUGGGCGGAAGCCUGAUGAAGCAACGCCGCGUGCGGGAUGACGGCCUUCGGGUUGUAAACCGCUUUCGCCUGUGACGAAGCGUGAGUGACGGUAAUGGGUAAAGAAGCACCGGCUAACUACGU